UCCCUGGCAGUCCAAGGGUUAGGACUCAGCACUUUCACUGUUGUGAACCAGGUUCAAUCCCUGGUCAGGGUA
This is a transfer RNA of Ovis aries (sheep), 72 nucleotides long. It matches the Rfam family "tRNA". From Rfam's summary of the family: Transfer RNA (tRNA) molecules are approximately 80 nucleotides in length. Their secondary structure includes four short double-helical elements and three loops (D, anti-codon, and T loops). Further hydrogen bonds mediate the characteristic L-shaped molecular structure. tRNAs have two regions of fundamental functional importance: the anti-codon, which is responsible for specific mRNA codon recognition, and the 3' end, to which the tRNAs corresponding amino acid is attached (by aminoacyl-tRNA synthetases). tRNAs cope with the degeneracy of the genetic code in two manners: having more than one tRNA (with a specific anti-codon) for a particular amino acid; and 'wobble' base-pairing, i.e. permitting non-standard base-pairing at the 3rd anti-codon position. NCBI's taxonomy places the organism in Eukaryota, Metazoa, Chordata, Mammalia, Artiodactyla, Bovidae. The record is from Rfam.